Molecule: ribosomal RNA, 540 nt
Filed under: uncultured Gammaproteobacteria bacterium
Lineage: Bacteria; Pseudomonadati; Pseudomonadota; Gammaproteobacteria
Description: bacterial SSU rRNA
Rfam family: Bacterial small subunit ribosomal RNA
Source: RNAcentral
GCUGGCGGCAGGCCUAACACAUGCAAGUCGAGCGCGAAAGCACUUCGGUGUGAGUAGAGCGGCGGACGGGUGAGUAACGCGUACGAAUCUACCCAGUAGUGGGGGACAACUCGGGGAAACUCGAGCUAAUACCGCAUACGCCCUACGGGGGAAAGCGGGGGACCUUCGGGCCUCGUGCUAUUGGAUGAGCGUGCGUAAGAUUAGCUUGUUGGUGAGGUAAUGGCUCACCAAGGCGACGAUCUUUAGCUGGUCUGAGAGGAUGAUCAGCCACACCGGGACUGAGACACGGCCCGGACUCCUACGGGAGGCAGCAGUGGGGAAUAUUGCGCAAUGGGCGGAAGCCUGACGCAGCCAUGCCGCGUGUGUGAAGAAGGCCUUCGGGUUGUAAAGCACUUUCAAUUGGGAGGAAAGGUUCAAGCUUAAUACGCUUGAGCUGUGACGUUACCUUUAGAAGAAGCACCGGCUAACUCCGUGCCAGCAGCCGCGGUAAUACGGAGGGUGCAAGCGUUAAUCGGAAUUACUGGGCGUAAAGCGCGCGUA